Molecule: non-coding RNA, 24 nt
Filed under: Arabidopsis thaliana (thale cress)
Lineage: Eukaryota; Viridiplantae; Streptophyta; Magnoliopsida; Brassicales; Brassicaceae
Source: RNAcentral
ACAAACAAUGUGGUUCCUUCGGAG